RNAcentral lists this transfer RNA (71 nucleotides) under Marmota monax (woodchuck). RNAcentral describes it as "tRNA.Ala". It matches the Rfam family "tRNA". From Rfam's summary of the family: Transfer RNA (tRNA) molecules are approximately 80 nucleotides in length. Their secondary structure includes four short double-helical elements and three loops (D, anti-codon, and T loops). Lineage: Eukaryota; Metazoa; Chordata; Mammalia; Rodentia; Sciuridae. The record is from RNAcentral.
GGGGUUGUGGCUCAGCGGUAGAGUGUUCACCUAGCAUGUGUGAGGCCCUGGGUUCAAUCCUCAGCACCACA